RNAcentral lists this small RNA (69 nucleotides) under unclassified sequences. Its description in RNAcentral is "NAD+-I sequence". It matches the Rfam family "nadA riboswitch". The record is from Rfam by way of RNAcentral.
GCUUUCAACAUCCCCGUUCCAGAUCGAGCGGAGUGCGCUGAGCGCUGCCUCGUAUUUGGAGCUGAAGGC